AAAUACUCCUGAGAGACCGAUAGUGGACCAGUACCGUGAGGGAAAGGUGAAAAGAACCCCGAACAGGGGAGUGAAAAAGAACCUGAAACCGUGUGCUUACAAGCGGUCGGAGUUUCGAUUUAUCGGAAUGACGGCGUGCCUUUUGCAUAAUGAGCCUACGAGUUGCUCCUAUAUGGCGAGGUUAAGUGUUUAAGACACGAAGCCGAAGCGAAAGCGAGUCUUAACAGGGCGCAUAAGUCAUAUGGGGCAGACGCGAAACCUUGUGAUCUACCCAUGGUCAGGUUGAAGUUUUGUUAACACGAAAUGGAGGACCGAACAGAUAAACGUUGAAAAGUUUCCUGAUGAACUGUGGGUAGGGGUGAAAGGCCAAUCAAACUGGGAGAUAGCUCGUACUCCCCGAAAUGCAUUUAGGUGCAGCGUUGCGACAAGUUUAUUAGAGGUAGAGCUACUGAUUGGAUGCGGGGGUUUCAUCGCCUACCAAUUCCUGACAAACUCCGAAUGCUAAUAAAUGUUUCGCAGCAGUGAGGGCAUGGGUGCUAAGGUCCAUGUCCGAGAGGAGAAGAAUCCAGACCAUCAGCUAAGGUCCCCAAAUAACAGCUAAGUUGAAUUAACGAAGUCAGAUUGCAAAGACAGCUAGGAUGUUGGCUUGGAAGCAGCCAUUCAUUUAAAGAGUGCGUAACAGCUCACUAGUCGAGCGACCUUGCAUGGAUAAUACGCGGGCUUUAAGUAUACUGCCGAAGCUGCAGAUUUGAUAGAAAUAUCAACUGGUAGGGGAGCAUUCUAUUCAGCGGCGAAGAUGUGUUGUGAGGCAUGUUGGAGCGGAUAGAAAAGCAAAUGUAGGCAUGAGUAACGAUAAUGGAGGCGAGAAACCUCCACACCGAAAAGCCAAGGUUUCCCGGGCUAUGUUAAUCAGCCCGGGGUUAGUCGGGACCUAAGGAGAACCCGAAGGGGAGAUUCGAUGGACAGGGGGUUAAUAUUCCUCCACCUUGUAUACAAUAAAAGUGACGGAUUGCCGAGGUCAUCACGUACUGACGGAAUAGUGCGUAGAGCUUAGCCUUCGGGUGAAGCGAGAUGGAUACAGUGGUUCCAAGAAAAGCGAGUAUACAGGCCCGUACCGUAAACCGACACAGGUGGCUGGGAAGAAUAUUCUAAGGUGCUCGGGAGAUUCACGGUUAAGGAACUAGGCAAAAUAACCCCGUAACUUCGGGAUAAGGGGAGCCAUCAGUCAUGGUGGCCGCAGAGAAAUGAUCCAAGCGACUGUUUAGCAAAAACACAGGGCUAUGCAAAUUCGAAAGACGACGUAUAUGGCCUGACACCUGCCCGGUGCCGGAAGGUUAAGUGGGGAUGUUAUCCGCCUUGGCGGAGAAGCAUUGAAAUGAAGCCCCGGUAAACGGCGGCCGUAACUAUAACGGUCCUAAGGUAGCGAAAUUCCUUGUCGGGUAAGUUCCGACCUGCACGAAUGGUGUAACGAUUUGGAUACUGUCUCGACCGUGAGCCCGGUGAAAUUGUAGUAUCGGUGAAGAUGCCGAUUACCCGCGAUGGGACGGAAAGACCCCGUGAACCUUUACUAUAGCUUAACAUUGUUCCUGGGCACGUAAUGUGUAGGAUAGGUCGGAGACAGAGAUGCGGCGUCGCCAGGCGUCGAGUAGUCACCCUUGAAAUACGACCCUUUGCGUGUUUGGGAUCUAAUCCCGAGCAAUCGGGAGACAUUGUUUGGUGGGUAGUUUGACUGGGGUGGUCGCCUCCAAAAGAGUAACGGAGGCUUCCCAAGG
This 1772-nucleotide ribosomal RNA is filed under the name activated sludge metagenome. RNAcentral describes it as "bacterial LSU rRNA". It matches the Rfam family "Bacterial large subunit ribosomal RNA", at positions 468 to 2316 of the family's 2925-position model. The record is from RNAcentral.